Molecule: ribosomal RNA, 796 nt
Filed under: Streptomyces atrovirens
Lineage: Bacteria; Bacillati; Actinomycetota; Actinomycetes; Kitasatosporales; Streptomycetaceae
Description: bacterial SSU rRNA
Rfam family: Bacterial small subunit ribosomal RNA
Source: RNAcentral
UCUGCCCUGCACUCUGGGACAAGCCCUGGAAACGAGGGUCUAAUACCGGAUACUGACCCGCCUGGGCAUCCAGGCGGUUCGAAAGCUCCGGCGGUGCAGGAUGAGCCCGCGGCCUAUCAGCUUGUUGGUGAGGUAACGGCUCACCAAGGCGACGACGGGUAGCCGGCCUGAGAGGGCGACCGGCCACACUGGGACUGAGACACGGCCCAGACUCCUACGGGAGGCAGCAGUGGGGAAUAUUGCACAAUGGGCGCAAGCCUGAUGCAGCGACGCCGCGUGAGGGAUGACGGCCUUCGGGUUGUAAACCUCUUUCAGCAGGGAAGAAGCGAAAGUGACGGUACCUGCAGAAGAAGCGCCGGCUAACUACGUGCCAGCAGCCGCGGUAAUACGUAGGGCGCGAGCGUUGUCCGGAAUUAUUGGGCGUAAAGAGCUCGUAGGCGGCUUGUCGCGUCGGUUGUGAAAGCCCGGGGCUUAACCCCGGGUCUGCAGUCGAUACGGGCAGGCUAGAGUUCGGUAGGGGAGAUCGGAAUUCCUGGUGUAGCGGUGAAAUGCGCAGAUAUCAGGAGGAACACCGGUGGCGAAGGCGGAUCUCUGGGCCGAUACUGACGCUGAGGAGCGAAAGCGUGGGGAGCGAACAGGAUUAGAUACCCUGGGUAGUCCACGCCGUAAACGGUGGGCACUAGGUGUGGGCGACAUUCCACGUCGUCCGUGCCGCAGCUAACGCAUUAAGUGCCCCGCCUGGGGAGUACGGCCGCAAGGCUAAACUCAAAGGAAUUGACGGGGGCCCGCACAAGCG